GCCCCUGUAGCUCAGUGGAAUAGAGCGGCUGCCUUCUAAGCAGCGGGUCGGGCGUUCGAAUCGCCCCAGGGGUACCA
RNAcentral lists this transfer RNA (77 nucleotides) under Chloroflexota bacterium. Its description in RNAcentral is "Chloroflexi bacterium (freshwater metagenome) tRNA-Arg". It matches the Rfam family "tRNA". Rfam says of the family: Transfer RNA (tRNA) molecules are approximately 80 nucleotides in length. Their secondary structure includes four short double-helical elements and three loops (D, anti-codon, and T loops). The record is from RNAcentral. Lineage: Bacteria; Bacillati; Chloroflexota.